RNAcentral lists this ribosomal RNA (315 nucleotides) under Triticum aestivum (bread wheat). Its description in RNAcentral is "partial small subunit ribosomal RNA". Lineage: Eukaryota; Viridiplantae; Streptophyta; Magnoliopsida; Poales; Poaceae. The record is from RNAcentral.
AUGCAUUAUAUACAUAUAUACAUACCUCUAAAACCAAGCAUGUUGAGACUUUUUAAAUAUACACAAGAAAAUGCAUUGUGGGCAUUGCGGCGUCUAGCUCAGAAAGUUUCAUGGCGGCAACUUUUGCCGAAGAUAAACCAACAAUUUAGUAGUCAAGGAACCAUCCUUUUUCCUUAUGCAUGGAAGAAAAAGAUCAUCUUUAGCUGUACUGCACUAUUUGGGUGCACACUCAAUACAAUAUCUUUAGCUUCUUCAAUAUGUUCAGGAUGGUACUUGCUUUCGUUUAUGUUUGUGUCAUCAUUUCUUACAAUCUAA